RNAcentral lists this ribosomal RNA (484 nucleotides) under uncultured bacterium. RNAcentral's name for it is "partial 16S ribosomal RNA". It matches the Rfam family "Bacterial small subunit ribosomal RNA", at positions 28 to 507 of the family's 1533-position model. The record is from RNAcentral.
AUUGAACGCUGGCGGCAUGCUUUACACAUGCAAGUCGAACGGCAGCGCGGGCUUCGGCCUGGCGGCGAGUGGCGAACGGGUGAGUAAUGCAUCGGAACGUGCCCAGUAGUGGGGGAUAGCCCGGCGAAAGCCGGAUUAAUACCGCAUACGACCUGAGGGUGAAAGCGGGGGACCGAAAGGCCUCGCGCUAUUGGAGCGGCCGAUGUCGGAUUAGCUAGUUGGUGGGGUAAAGGCUUACCAAGGCGACGAUCCGUAGCUGGUCUGAGAGGACGACCAGCCACCCUGGGACUGAGACACGGCCCAGACUCCUACGGGAGGCAGCAGUGGGGAAUUUUGGACAACGGGGGCAACCCUGAUCCAGCCAUGCCGCGUGCGGGAAGAAGGCCUUCGGGUUGUAAACCGCUUUUGUUCGGGAAGAAAUCCUCUGGGCUAAUACCCCGUGGGGAUGACGGUACCGGAAGAAUAAGCACCGGCUAACUACGUG